CAGAGUUCUCGCCCUUCCGGGUAGAUCUCCCACCCACUGUUAUCGUUACCGUCGUUUCUUUGGCGGGCCGCCGGGCCCUGCUCGGCCGCCGGCCCCGGCUGGCGCGUGCCCGCCAGAGGCCCUUCAAACUCUGAAUGUUAGUGUCGUCUGAGUACUAUACAAUAGUUA
This 168-nucleotide unclassified non-coding RNA is filed under the name uncultured Oidiodendron. RNAcentral describes it as "sequence contains ITS1". Lineage: Eukaryota; Fungi; Ascomycota; Leotiomycetes; Myxotrichaceae. The record is from RNAcentral.